RNAcentral lists this ribosomal RNA (301 nucleotides) under uncultured bacterium. RNAcentral describes it as "partial 16S ribosomal RNA". It matches the Rfam family "Bacterial small subunit ribosomal RNA", at positions 509 to 807 of the family's 1533-position model. The record is from RNAcentral.
CAGUAGCCGCGGUAAUACAGAGGGUGCAAGCGUUAAUCGGAAUUACUGGGCGUAAAGCGCGCGUAGGUGGUUCGCCAAGUUGGAUGUGAAAUCCCCGGGCUCAACCUGGGAACUGCAUCCAAAACUGGCGAGCUAGAGUAUGGUAGAGGGUGGUGGAAUUUCCUGUGUAGCGGUGAAAUGCGUAGAUAUAGGAAGGAACAUCAGUGGCGAAGGCGACCACCUGGACUGAUACUGACACUGAGGUGCGAAAGCGUGGGGAGCAAACAGGAUUAGAUACCCCAGUAGUCCCUGUCUCUUAUAC